AUUGAACGCUGGCGGCGUGCCUAACACAUGCAAGUCGAGCGGUAACAGGUGUAGCAAUACAUGCUGACGAGCGGCGGACGGGUGAGUAACGCUUGGGAAUCUGCCUGUUAGUGGGGGACAACCCGGGGAAACUCGGGCUAAUACCGCAUACGCACUACGGUGGAAAGCCGGGGACCGCAAGGCCUGGCGCUAACAGAUGAGCCCAAGUCGGAUUAGCUAGUUGGUAGGGUAACGGCCUACCAAGGCGACGAUCCGUAACUGGUCUGAGAGGACGACCAGUCACACCGGAA
RNAcentral lists this ribosomal RNA (290 nucleotides) under uncultured bacterium. RNAcentral describes it as "partial 16S ribosomal RNA". It matches the Rfam family "Bacterial small subunit ribosomal RNA", at positions 30 to 318 of the family's 1533-position model. The record is from RNAcentral.